GACGAACGCUGGCGGCGUGCCUAACACAUGCAAGUCGAGCGGGGAAUUACCCAUGAAGUUUUCGGAUGGAAUGAGUGAUUUCUAGCGGCGGACGGGUGAGUAACGCGUGAGCAACCUGCCUAUCACAGGGGAAUAACAGUUAGAAAUGGCUGCUAAUACCGCAUAAGCGCACAGGGCCGCAUGGCCCGGUGUGAAAAACUCCGGUGGUAUAAGAUGGACCCGCGUCUGAUUAGCUGGUUGGUGGGGUAACGGCCCACCAAGGCGACGAUCAGUAGCCGGCCUGAGAGGGUGAACGGCCACAUUGGGACUGAGACACGGCCCAG
Molecule: ribosomal RNA, 323 nt
Filed under: uncultured bacterium
Lineage: Bacteria
Description: bacterial SSU rRNA
Rfam family: Bacterial small subunit ribosomal RNA
Source: RNAcentral